UCCGUAGGCGGACUAAUAAGUCAGGGGUGAAAUCCAACAGCUUAACUGUUGAACUGCCUUUGAUACUGUUAGUCUUGAAUUAUAUGGAAGUAGAUAGAAUGUGUAGUGUAGCGGUGAAAUGCUUAGAGAUUACACAGAAUACCGAUUUCGAAGGCAGUCUACUACGUAUAUAUUGACGCUAAUGGACGAAAGCGUGGGGAGCGAACAGGAUUAGAUACCCUGGUAGUCC
This 229-nucleotide ribosomal RNA is filed under the name uncultured bacterium. RNAcentral describes it as "partial 16S ribosomal RNA". It matches the Rfam family "Bacterial small subunit ribosomal RNA", at positions 568 to 796 of the family's 1533-position model. The record is from RNAcentral.